UGCUGAACCUGGGGUGAGAGCUAGAUAUUCUCAAACCAAGAAACAGAUACCCUCCUGGUCUAGUGAGCUCUGACCAGAAUGUUAACAGGAGUAAACCUUUGGAGAUAAGGGGAUCUGAUUAAAUAAACAGUCUCGUCAAGAAAUAUACCUUCGUGGACGGUGCUCCACGUACUCAGUCGAUGCACCAAAUUUUCCACCGCAAGACGUGCUUCCUCGUUCCUAGAGUAUAAAUGAACUGUGGAUAUUUACAGAAACAAGCGCGUGAGAAAUGGGUAUGAUGAC
Molecule: long non-coding RNA, 282 nt
Filed under: Eurytemora carolleeae
Lineage: Eukaryota; Metazoa; Arthropoda; Copepoda; Calanoida; Temoridae
Description: uncharacterized LOC111713846
Source: RNAcentral